GAUGAACGCUGGCGGCGUGCCUAAUACAUGCAAGUCGAGCGAACGGACGAGAAGCUUGCUUUUCUGAUGUUAGCGGCGGACGGGUGAGUAACACGUGGAUAACCUACCUAUAAGACUGGGAUAACUUCGGGAAACCGGAGCUAAUACCGGAUAAUAUUUUGAACCGCAUGGUUCAAAAGUGAAGGACGGUCUUGCUGUCACUUAUAGAUGGAUCCGCGCUGCAUUAGCUAGUUGGUAAGGUAACGGCUUACCAAGGCAACGAUGCAUAGCCGACCUGAGAGGGUGAUCGGCCACACUGGAACUGAGACACGGUCCAGACUCCUACGGGAGGCAGCAGUAGGGAAUCUUCCGCAAAGGGCGAAAGCCUGACGGAGCAACGCCGCGUGAGUGAUGAAGGUCUUCGGAUCGUAAAACUCUGUUAUUAGGGAAGAGCAUAUGUGUAAGUAACUGUGCACAUCUUGACGGUACCUAAUCAGAAAGCCACGGCUAACUACGUG
This 497-nucleotide ribosomal RNA is filed under the name uncultured bacterium. Its description in RNAcentral is "partial 16S ribosomal RNA". It matches the Rfam family "Bacterial small subunit ribosomal RNA", at positions 28 to 507 of the family's 1533-position model. The record is from RNAcentral.